AUCAGUGGCUACAGAACGAACGCUGGCGGCAUGCCUAACACAUGCAAGUCGAACGAGACCUUCGGGUCUAGUGGCGCACGGGUGCGUAACGCGUGGGAACCUGCCUUUAGGUUCGGAAUAACUCAGAGAAAUUUGAGCUAAUACCGGAUAAUGUCUUCGGACCAAAGAUUUAUCGCCUUUAGAUGGGCCCGCGUUGGAUUAGCUAGUUGGUGGGGUAAAGGCCUACCAAGGCGACGAUCCAUAGCUGGUCUGAGAGGAUGAUCAGCCACACUGGGACUGAGACACGGCCCAGACUCCUACGGGAGGCAGCAGUGGGGAAUAUUGGACAAUGGGCGAAAGCCUGAUCCAGCAAUGCCGCGUGAGUGAUGAAGGCCUUAGGGUUGUAAAGCUCUUUUACCCGAGAUGAUAAUGACAGUAUCGGGAGAAUAAGCUCCGGCUAACUCCGUG
This 447-nucleotide ribosomal RNA is filed under the name uncultured bacterium. RNAcentral describes it as "bacterial SSU rRNA". It matches the Rfam family "Bacterial small subunit ribosomal RNA", at positions 26 to 507 of the family's 1533-position model. The record is from RNAcentral.